AAUGUGGAUCUUCCAAAUUUUGCUUCGAGAAUCAAUUGGAGGGCAAGUCUGGUGCCAGCAGCCGCGGUGAUUCCAGCUCCAAUAGCGUAUAUUAAAGUUGUUGCAGUUAAAAAGCUCGUAGUUGUUAGGGUUGGGAAAUUUGAAGAAUCUUCACUGGUCUUCAGACUUCCUAAAAGCUGUUUCAAUCGGCUUUGUGUUACUUUGAGAAAAUUUGAGUGUUCAUCUCGGGCAAAUUGCUUACAUAAUGUACCAUGGAAUAACUCUGUGGCCCUAAUUCUGUCUUUUGGCUUACAUUAUUGGGGUUCGUGGUUGAAAGGAAUAGUUGGGGGCAUUCGUACUGAACAGUUAGAGGUGAAAUUCUUAGAUUUGUUCAAGACGAACCAGUGCGAAAGCAUCUGCCAAGGAUGUUUUCAUUAAUCAAGAACGAAAGUUAGGGGAUCGAAGACGAUCAGAUACCGUCGUAGUCUUAACUGUAAACAAUGCCGACUAGAGAUCGGUGGAAUUCGAAUUGGAAUCCUUCGGCAUCUACAGAGAAAUCAAAGUUCUUGGGUUCUGGGGGGAGUAUGGUCGCAAGGCUGAAACUUAAAGGAAUUGACGGAAGGGCACCACCAGGAGUGGAGCCUGCGGCUUAAUUUGACCCAACACGGGAAAACUUACCAGGUCCGGACAUAGGUAUGAUUGACAGACUGAGAGCUCUUUCUUGAUUCUAUGGGUGGUGGUGCAUGGCCGUUCUUAGUUGGUGGAUUGAUUUGUCUGGUUGAUUCCGACAACGAACGAGACCUUUACUUUCUAAUUAGAUCCAAGACAUACGUGUUUCCUGGGUCGCCUUAGCAGAACUUUGUGCGUUGCAGCACAAUGAAGCACAGGCAAUAACAGGUCUGUGAUGCCCUUAGAUGUUCUGGGCUGCACGCGUGCUACAAUGAAACUUACCAUAAGUUGCGAUGUCGAAAAGCUAUGCAAAUCUUUGAAUGCGUUUCGUGACAGGGACAGUUGAUUGUAAUUUUUCGACUCGAACGAGGAAUUCCUUGUAAUCGUGAUUCAUCAUAUCGCGCUGAAUACGUCCCUGCCCUUUGUACACACCGCCCGUCGCUCCUACCGAUUGGGCGAUCCGGUGAAUUAUUUGGAGUUUUGACGAUUUCUUUCGGAAACCUGCCAAUUCAAAUUUUUGU
Molecule: ribosomal RNA, 1169 nt
Filed under: metagenome
Description: bacterial SSU rRNA
Rfam family: Eukaryotic small subunit ribosomal RNA
Source: RNAcentral